UCAGGAAGAAGCUUGAAUUCAUUUCAUGGG
Molecule: non-coding RNA, 30 nt
Filed under: Callithrix jacchus (white-tufted-ear marmoset)
Lineage: Eukaryota; Metazoa; Chordata; Mammalia; Primates; Cebidae
Also listed under: 1 other name
Source: RNAcentral